GGAACAUCUGUAUCCCUGGAGAGUUGCUUCCUACUACAGGUGGAAUAGGACCCAGAGUCCUAUCCAACUUUGUUCACAGCCACCAUUGUGGCUCUCUACAAAGAUGAGAGCCCAGAGAAUUUCUCAGCCUGAUCUUCCCCCAGUGCUCUCUCUAAUUGAGUCAAGGAAAACAGCCUUAGCAGGGACCUUGGACGGCUGCCGAAUGAAGCCAUCGCUGUGUGAGUGAAGCUGAAAUCUCCGUGGCUGUUCUCGCAGGCUGCUGAAGCAUAGCAGUCCAAGACUGAUGGCAUUGGCUAGUUUUGCUGGGGAAAUAUUUCUUCCCAUUUUCUUUUUUAAUUAACUAGUUUCAACGUUUGACUGAAGGGGGAGGCACAGACAUUUACAAUUAGUCCCUCCAGAGCUAUAUCAGAAAUUGAUACGCUAUUUAGUAGCUGCAGAAAUGGAUACACUACUUGGGAGCCAGUCCCAGGAAGAAAGAGCCACCUAGAAUUUCUGUACUGAAAGUCCGAAUGGAAUGACAUGAAGCUUUAUAAAUCACCGAAGAGGUCUAGACGGUGUGAGUUUUGCAAAUUAAAGUUGUUUCUCUCUCCUUC
Mastomys coucha (southern multimammate mouse) is the source of this 593-nucleotide long non-coding RNA. RefSeq lists it as uncharacterized. Lineage: Eukaryota; Metazoa; Chordata; Mammalia; Rodentia; Muridae. The transcript is spliced from 4 exons. The record is from RefSeq and is a predicted model, not a curated record.